AACGAACGCUGGCGGCAGGCCUAGCACAUGCAAGUCGAGCGAGACCUUCGGGUCUAGCGGCGGACGGGUUAGUAACGCGUGGGAACGUGCCCUUCUCUGCGGAAUAGCCACUGGAAACGGUGAGUAAUACCGCAUACGCCCUUCGGGGGAAAGAUUUAUCGGAGAAGGAUCGGCCCGCGUUAGAUUAGAUAGUUGGUGGGUAACGGCCUACCAAGUCUACGAUCUAUAGCUGGUUUUAGAGGAUGAUCAGCAACACUGGGACUGAGACACGGCCCAGACUCCUACGGGAGGCAGCAGUGGGGAAUCUUAGACAAUGGGCGCAAGCCUGAUCUAGCCAUGCCGCGUGUGUGAUGAAGGUCUUAGGAUCGUAAAGCACUUUCGCCAGGGAUGAUAAUGACAGUACCUGGUAAAGAAACCCCGGCUAACUCCGUG
This 432-nucleotide ribosomal RNA is filed under the name uncultured bacterium. RNAcentral describes it as "bacterial SSU rRNA". It matches the Rfam family "Bacterial small subunit ribosomal RNA", at positions 29 to 507 of the family's 1533-position model. The record is from RNAcentral.